RNAcentral lists this ribosomal RNA (253 nucleotides) under uncultured bacterium. Its description in RNAcentral is "partial 16S ribosomal RNA". It matches the Rfam family "Bacterial small subunit ribosomal RNA", at positions 524 to 776 of the family's 1533-position model. The record is from RNAcentral.
UACGGGGGGGGCAAGCGUUGUUCGGAAUUACUGGGCGUAAAGGGCUCGUAGGCGGCCAACUAAGUCAGACGUGAAAUCCCUCGGCUUAACCGGGGAACUGCGUCUGAUACUGGAUGGCUUGAGUUUGGGAGAGGGAUGCGGAAUUCCAGGUGUAGCGGUGAAAUGCGUAGAUAUCUGGAGGAACACCGGUGGCGAAGGCGGCAUCCUGGAUCAACACUGACGCUGAGGAGCGAAAGCCAGGGGAGCAAACGGG